Saccostrea cuccullata (small rock oyster) is the source of this 679-nucleotide long non-coding RNA. RefSeq lists it as uncharacterized. NCBI's taxonomy places the organism in Eukaryota, Metazoa, Mollusca, Bivalvia, Ostreida, Ostreidae. The record is from RefSeq and is a predicted model, not a curated record. The transcript has 3 exons.
UACCAGUGACGUCACUGGAAAGAGAAGUCUGACGUCUGCAAGUUCUAGGGCCUAGCUAAAGGUGAGGAAUGCAUAAAAUCAACAAUUAUUUAAUUACUUUAUGACUGUGUGUUGCAUGUAAACUAAGGGGGGUGUUUUUUUUCAGUGUAUUACAUAAUGGAGACGUGGGUUACCAAAAACUGAAAAUAUUGACCAUGUUGAGCCAGUGAGCUGUCUUGGUCAGCACCCAGGUGUAUCCAUCAACACGGGCACGUUAUAUCAAAAUGCAGAUAUGCAUUCCAGGAUGGUGACUGAAGCUCAUCUUUGUAAACACCUAUAUAAUGCCUAGAAUGGACUCCAAAACAGAUUCUUAAAGUUUAACCAGUAUAAUCUUGAAUAUGGAUAAAAAAGUAUACACUUGGAACACACACAAAAACAGAUGAGUCCAUGCCAAGCUUAAGAUUAAUGCAGAAGGUAAGUUCAAUUUUUCAUUUCGUAACUCUUUUGGUUUUAUCCAGAUCGGACCUUACAUAUAAUUAAGUCAGCUUCAGUAUAUAAUAGAAGGAUAUGGAGAUAACGAACAGUAUUCAAUCUCAAAGUUCAUAAAACUAUACAAAAUAAGAGCAGAGCAAACACGGACCCCCGAAACAUCAGAGGUGGGAUCAGGUGCCAUAAUAAAACACCUAUUUACUUACUAUUC